GUCGAGGGGUAGGGUAGCAAUACCUGAGACCGGCGCACGGGUGCGUAACGCGUAUGCAACCUACCUUUUACAGGGGAAUAGCCCAGAGAAAUUUGGAUUAAUGCCCCAUGGUAUAUUUUAGUGGCAUCACUGGAUUAUUAAAGUUCCAACGGUAAAAGAUGGGCAUGCGUCCUAUUAGCUAGAUGGUAAGGUAACGGCUUACCAUGGCUACGAUAGGUAGGGGUCCUGAGAGGGAGAUCCCCCACACUGGUACUGAGACACGGACCAGACUCCUACGGGAGGCAGCAGUGAGGAAUAUUGGACAAUGGGCGCAAGCCUGAUCCAGCCAUGCCGCGUGCAGGAAGAAGCAUCUAUGGUGUGUAAACUGCUUUUGUACGGGAAGAAACACUCCUACGUGUAGGAGCUUGACGGUACCGUAAGAAUAAGGAUCGGCUAACUCCGUGCCAGCAGCCGCGGUAAUACGGAGGAUCCAAGCGUUAUCCGGAAUCAUUGGGUUUAAAGGGUCCGUAGGCGGUUUGGUAAGUCAGUGGUGAAAGCCCUUCGCUCAACGGAGGAACGGCCAUUGAUACUGCCAGACUUGAAUUACUGGGAAGUAACUAGAAUAUGUAGUGUAGCGGUGAAAUGCUUAGAUAUUACAUGGAAUACCAAUUGCGAAGGCAGGUUACUACCAGUGGAUUGACGCUGAUGGACGAAAGCGUGGGGAGCGAACAGGAUUAGAUACCCUGGUAGUCCACGCCGUANACGAUGGAUACUAGCUGUUGGNA
This 764-nucleotide ribosomal RNA is filed under the name uncultured Bacteroidota bacterium. RNAcentral's name for it is "bacterial SSU rRNA". It matches the Rfam family "Bacterial small subunit ribosomal RNA", at positions 61 to 828 of the family's 1533-position model. Lineage: Bacteria; Pseudomonadati; Bacteroidota. The record is from RNAcentral.